Molecule: unclassified non-coding RNA, 310 nt
Filed under: Chaetothyriales sp.
Lineage: Eukaryota; Fungi; Ascomycota; Eurotiomycetes; Chaetothyriales
Description: partial contains 5.8S ribosomal RNA, internal transcribed spacer 2, and large subunit ribosomal RNA
Rfam family: 5.8S ribosomal RNA (bases 1-71)
Source: RNAcentral
GUGAGUCAUCGAAUCUUUGAACGCACAUUGCGCCCUUUGGUAUUCCGAAGGGCAUACCUGUUCGAGCGUCAUUAUCACCCCUCAAGCCCCGUGCUUGGUGUUGGACGGCCCGGUCGAGGUUACUCGACCCCUCCUAAAGACAAUGACGGCGGCCUGUGGUUCCCCCGGUACACUGAGCUUUUAACUGAGCACGUAUCGGAUAAGGGCGCCCGGGACACGGUCCUCUCCUUUGACUAGGAAACUUUUACAAGGUUGACCUCGGAUCAGGUAGGAAUACGCGCUGAACUUAAGCAUAUCAAUAAGCGGAGGA